GGGUUAGGUACACAUAUAUGGUGAUGGAUAGACCACAGAUACACAGCAAGAACAAUUCAACUAGUGAGAACACACAUAUGUGAUACAAUAUUUAUAAGUACCAAACUGAACCAUUCACGGAUUGCAAGCAUUCAUAGAAUCUGAACAUUACAGGGCAUUACACAUCUCCUAUUACAGAAAUUCAGAGAAUAUAGAGAGGGAAAAAGAGGGAUAGCAGCAGUUUAUGGUUAAGAUUAGGAGCAGUAGGGGCGUUUGAGAGAAGGUGCAGCAAGAAAGAGGUGCAACCGCAGUUUUGGGGAGAGGUAGUAGCAGCCAGCAGUUGGUUCAGAGAAGGAGCAGCAGCUUGGGAUUUUGAGAAGAGCAGCAGGGAAUAGGAGCAACAGCAAGGAGAAGUGCAGAGGAAAAGCAACAGCAAGGGGGUGCGAGGAGAAGAAGGAGCAGCGGCAGACAGCGCAAGAAGAAGAAGCAGCAAGCAGCGGAAGGAGGGAGAAGUAGUAGCAGAGAUUGAGAGAGCAAGCAGCAGCAGGGGCGUGGGAAGAAGAAACAGCAGCAGGCAGAGAGCAGAAGAAGGAAGAGGGAGUUGGCGAUGGUGGUGGCACACUGGUGGUCUGCGAGAUGGGUCCGAGGCGAAUGAGUUGGGUGGCGCACUCACGCGGGUGACCAGACACUCGCGCCGGAGUGUCUGAUGCAUCGCGUGAGGGAGCGGCUGGUGUGGUGGAUGUAGGCACUGGAGGUAGGAGGAGUAGUGGUGGCGCUGGGUGAUGGAUGGAGGCGGUGCUGGUUGGCGCACCACCACGCCGGCCUGGCCGCGGCGGCGGCCGGAGGUGGAAGAAUAAGUGGUGAGGGAGAGGAGGAGAGAUGCCAGGCCCGAAAGGGGAUC
Molecule: ribosomal RNA, 880 nt
Filed under: Triticum aestivum (bread wheat)
Lineage: Eukaryota; Viridiplantae; Streptophyta; Magnoliopsida; Poales; Poaceae
Description: partial small subunit ribosomal RNA
Source: RNAcentral